AAAAUUCUGAAAAAUUCAAAGCGGUUGCUUCUUGAAGAACUUCAGAAGUAACUUAUAAAUCUAGAAAUUCUCUAAGCAAUUACUGGAAAUUUUGUUAGUAUUUAUCCCAAUUAACUUUUUGAAAUAAUGAUAGUUUUUCUUUGAUUCUGGUGUGCAAACGAGUGGAGUUCUGGGUAUUUGUUUUAAAAGUUGGUUGGGAUUUAUUGUUGAAAAAUACUGUUUCAUUGCUGAUUUGAGCGGAUUUCAUUGUUCCAUUGGCUGUUGAUGGGUUGAUUCCUUACUCCUUUGUCUCUAUUUCAUUUUUCAGGUACUUGUUCUUAAACUUGUAGAGUUGAUGCUCAAAUUGGAAUUGAAAUGGAGUUGUGAUUCAUAAUAUAGCUUUACUUUCAUGGAUCUCCCUCUUUUAAGCUUUCAUAAUUAAGUUUUUUGUGUAAUUGAAUAUGCCACUAGAUAUUGUCUUUAUUUAUAUGGAUUUAAUUGGUUUUGCUUGAAGGCAGAGGCUUGAGUCCAUGUUUUGUCUGAUUUUUUUUUUUUUAGUUCAGUUGUGUUAUGUAUGCUUUGUUCAUGAUUGUCAAUGUUAACUCAUUUUAAAAGUUGUAUUUGAGAUAUGUUUUGAAUACUGUUUGAGCCCGGGAAUGACUCAUGUCUUGAUGAUAUGUACAAGUGGAUAACCACUAUUUCUCUAGUUUAAUUUGGUCGAUAUUGCCGAAUUUUGCAUAUAAGUUGAACUGGUGGCCAGAUUUAGAUUUGCCUAACCUUUUCGUUUGAUCUAUAUUCAGAUUUGCUCCAGGUUUAGUUUGGUUCACAGGUUAUGUGCUUUGAUUUUGUGUAUAAAUCACAUUUAGAAUUCGUUUUGGGUAGUUGUGUUUUCGAAGAACCAUGAUUCAAAUAAUGGAUCGAUGGUUUGAUAGUUUACAAAUUUAAUUAAGCUAUACAAGGUUCUUCGUUGUUGCUGGCAGGUUCAUAAUUGUGAUUCAAACUUCACAUAAUAUGUUUGUUACUUAGCAUAUUCAAAAUUGAAAUGCGAAUUUUGUUAUUCAAUGUUCUGAUUUAUUCCCUCUUUGUGGUUGUUUAGUUUACAGUAUGAGUUAUAGUUAUAAUAUGAGUUUUGCUAUUCGAAAUUUUGGUCUAAAAUUGCAGCGUGGGUCAUACGAUUAUAAACACUUGAUGAAAAAUAAUUAAUCAAUUUUAUGGGGCCAUGACUUGUAAUAAGGAGGUAAGAAUAGACACGGGCUGGAUUGAGUACACGUCUGCCAAGCCCAAUAGACUAAGUUAAUAUAAUGGUCUCAUAAUUUUAAAGAUGGAGUAGAUAAUUCUUUUCAUAAUUCUCAUACCUUGUGACAAUCUCGGAUUAACAUUAGGAAUAAUUAGUUUCUUUAUAUGAACAUUUCGUAGUUUGCUUUAGCCGAGUAUAAUUUUUAGAAUAAUUCGAGCUGAACCGAGCAAAAUAAAUCUUAAAAUGCAUGGCCUUAAUUUUAAUCAACCUGUGAAUCCUUAGAAUUCGGGGCGCGUUAUUUAGCAAAUUUAUAUUGCCCCUGCAAAAACUAAAAACGCAUAGUCGCUUUAGGCGCAUUGUUUAAAUAAUCUACCUUCCUAAACUCUGUGCGCAUUUAUGCGACACAAAUCCAAGUCACAACGUUAGAUAAAAUGUGUCGUGGGCUGCGUGUGUAUUUAUGUGACGUAGUUCAAGACAUAUUUUAAAUGACGUUGCAAUCUCCUUUAAAUAAAAAAACGGUUAAAGUUAAAAUUGCACAUAGGUUCAAAAAUGCUUAAAAUCAGACAAUUAGGCCAAUAAUAAUAUUUGAGAGACCGUGCUAGAACCACAUAACUUGGGAGUGCCUAACACCUUCUCCCGGAUUAACAGAAUUCCUUGCCCGAAUUUUUGGUUCGCGGACUGUAAUACAUAGUCAAUCCUUUCCUCGAUUUGGGAUUUUGAACCGGUGACUUGGGACACCAUAAAUCUCCAAGUGGUGACUCUGAAUCUCUUAGUAAACAAUCCCGUUUCGAUUGUCAUUUUAAUUGAAAAAACUCCCUUAUCUACGUCCUUCGCAGGGCGUCAUGUAAAAAAGGAGGCGUGAUACCGACCAAAACCGAGACCGAAUGAGAUCGAUCUCGAUCAAGAUCGGGACCGAAUAAGAUAGAGAUCGAGGGAAGCUUACUGGGUCGAAUUUCUGCAUGACGAAAUAUUCGCAAUCAGGCGAGGAUCAUGGCGCAAUUCUCGACACGCAUAAGAAGAUACUGAUUGAUUAGC
RNAcentral lists this long non-coding RNA (2251 nucleotides) under Nicotiana benthamiana. RNAcentral describes it as "long non-coding RNA (NBEN_LNC041316)". Lineage: Eukaryota; Viridiplantae; Streptophyta; Magnoliopsida; Solanales; Solanaceae. The record is from RNAcentral.